GUAGCAUGCUAUCUGCUUCGUUUAUUUUUAAAGAAAUGAACUUGCUAGAAAUAUAAAUCCACUAGAAUUGAAAUUUGGGACCUCGGGUACCAACCACCAAGACCUUUGUCAUUUGCGCUAGGGACGGUCGGUCCAACUACUAUAGUUGGAACUGGGACAAGUUUAGGUAUAAUUCGAACUGCUAUAGUUGGAUCUUUCCUCACAGUUUCUAUUGCAGCAGGUGAAGUUAAAUAUAUCAAACCAAAUACCGAAUUUGUAUUUACAUAUAGUUACAAUUGCCGUGCAGUUACAAUUAUAUGUAACCAAACGGCUCCUAAGAAUAGAUGCUUUAACUUUAAAUAAUUUAAUUAAUAGUAUACACUCCAUAAAUAUAUUUGU
This 378-nucleotide long non-coding RNA is filed under the name Ananas comosus (pineapple). RNAcentral describes it as "long non-coding RNA (ACOM_LNC016173)". The record is from RNAcentral. Lineage: Eukaryota; Viridiplantae; Streptophyta; Magnoliopsida; Poales; Bromeliaceae.